RNAcentral lists this ribosomal RNA (254 nucleotides) under uncultured bacterium. RNAcentral describes it as "partial 16S ribosomal RNA". It matches the Rfam family "Bacterial small subunit ribosomal RNA", at positions 524 to 776 of the family's 1533-position model. The record is from RNAcentral.
UACGGAGGGAGCUAGCGUUAUUCGGAAUUACUGGGCGUAAAGCGCACGUAGGCGGCUUUGUAAGUUAGAGGUGAAAGCCUGGAGCUCAACUCCAGAACUGCCUUUAAGACUGCAUCGCUUGAAUCCUGGAGAGGUGAGUGGAAUUCCGAGUGUAGAGGUGAAAAUUCGUAGAUAUUCGGAAGAACACCAGUGGCGAAGGCGACUCGCUGGACAGACAUUGACGCUGAGGUGCGAAAGCGUGGGGAGCAAACAGG